UAUGACGUAGAAGCGAGUGAAG
RNAcentral lists this microRNA (22 nucleotides) under Pristionchus pacificus. RNAcentral's name for it is "ppc-miR-63e". Its record names the gene ppc-miR-63e. Lineage: Eukaryota; Metazoa; Nematoda; Chromadorea; Rhabditida; Neodiplogasteridae. The record is from miRBase by way of RNAcentral.